AGGAUAUAGACCUCACCUCUUAAUGGAAGAGUUGCAAGGUUCUGGAAAAACAUACAAAAUGGAAAAUAUUAUUCUAUCCAUUUUUGUAGAUCAAAUGUUUUCCCAGAAAUUUCUGCUGGAUUCUUUCUCAUUUUCACACACAAAGCAUCAACAAUUCCUAACAGGCCUGACAGCAAAAUAUACCCCAAACUUGAUCUGUGCUGACGUCACCUCAACACUAUUCCCACCUUAAUCCAUCCCUACCUGGAUUAGAACAAAGCCUGUGAAGAAGCUUUCUCAUAGCCAAUGUAGCCCAUGUGUCCUAUUAUUUAUAUAUUAGCCAUUGAGAGCUUUGAAAAAAUGUAAAUUUGCUCCUAUCCCCGUUCAUUUUAGAACCAUCCAAUGGCUUCCUAUUAUGCUAAGAAUAAAUGCCUAAUCCCUAAAUGUGACCCCAAAACUCUCCAUAUUUGUGGCCUGUUUACCCUUCUCACUUCUUCUUCAGGCUUCUCCCCCCCACACUCACAGUGUUCUUCCUCUUCUCCCUUAAAUACCUGGGUGUGUCUCUGAUCCCAAAUCUCUUCAUACUCACUCUGUUCCAUUAUUCAGAUCUCUGCUCACAAAGCAUCUUAUCAGACCACCCAACAUAAAAGUGCAUCUACUCAGUCACCUGACCCUCCUUUAUUUUUC
This 666-nucleotide long non-coding RNA is filed under the name Marmota monax (woodchuck). The record is from RNAcentral. Lineage: Eukaryota; Metazoa; Chordata; Mammalia; Rodentia; Sciuridae.